RNAcentral lists this ribosomal RNA (497 nucleotides) under uncultured bacterium. RNAcentral describes it as "partial 16S ribosomal RNA". It matches the Rfam family "Bacterial small subunit ribosomal RNA", at positions 28 to 507 of the family's 1533-position model. The record is from RNAcentral.
GACGAACGCUGGCGGCGUGCCUAAUACAUGCAAGUUGAGCGCUGAAGGUUGGUACUUGUACCAACUGGAUGAGCAGCGAACGGGUGAGUAACGCGUGGGGAAUCUGCCUUUGAGCGGGGGACAACAUUUGGAAACGAAUGCUAAUACCGCAUAAAAACUUUAAACACAAGUUUUAAGUUUGAAAGAUGCAAUUGCAUCACUCAAAGAUGAUCCCGCGUUGUAUUAGCUAGUUGGUGAGGUAAAGGCUCACCAAGGCGAUGAUACAUAGCCGACCUGAGAGGGUGAUCGGCCACAUUGGGACUGAGACACGGCCCAAACUCCUACGGGAGGCAGCAGUAGGGAAUCUUCGGCAAUGGACGAAAGGCUGACCGAGCAACGCCGCGUGAGUGAAGAAGGUUCUCGGAUCGUAAAACUCUGUUGGUAGAGAAGAACGUUGGUGAGAGUGGAAAGCUCAUCAAGUGACGGUAACUACCCAGAAAGGGACGGCUAACUACGUG